GAUGGGUAGGGGAGCGUCGUGUGCCGGGUGAAGCAGCCGCGGAAGCGAGUUGUGGACGGUUCACGAGUGAGAAUGCAGGCAUGAGUAGCGAUACAAACGUGAGAAACGUUUGCGCCGAUUGACUAAGGGUUCCUGGGUCAAGCUGAUCUGCCCAGGGUAAGUCGGGACCUAAGGCGAGGCCGACAGGCGUAGUCGAUGGAUAACCGGUUGAUAUUCCGGUACCCGCUGUGAAGCGUCAAACAUUGAAUCAGGCGAUGCUAAGUCCGUGAAGCCGUUCCGGACCCUUCGGGGAAAGGAAAGUGGUGGAGCCGACGGACCAGACUUGUAGUAGGUGAGUGAUGGGGUGACGCAGGAAGGUAGUCCAUCCCGGGCGGUGGUUGUCCCGGGGUAAGGGUGUAGCCCGAGUGGUAGGCAAAUCCGCCAUUCAUUAAGGGUGAGACCUGAUGCCGAGCCGAUUGUGGUGAAGUGGAUGAUCCUAUGCUGUCGAGAAAAGCCUCUAGCGAGUUUCAUGGCGGCCCGUACCCUAAACCGACUCAGGUGGUCAGGUAGAGAAUACCGAGGCGUUCGGGUGAACUAUGGUUAAGGAACUCGGCAAAAUGCCCCCGUAACUUCGGGAGAAGGGGGGCCACAACUGGUGAGAGCACUUGCUGCUCGAGCUGGGGGUGGCCGCAGAGACCAGCGAGAAGCGACUGUUUACUAAAAACACAGGUCCGUGCGAAGCCGUAAGGCGAUGUAUACGGACUGACGCCUGCCCGGUGCUGGAACGUUAAGGGGACCGGUUAGUCCAACUUCGGUUGGGCGAAGCUGAGAACUUAAGCGCCAGUAAACGGCGGUGGUAACUAUAACCAUCCUAAGGUAGCGAAAUUCCUUGUCGGGUAAGUUCCGACCUGCACGAAUGGCGUAACGACUUCUCGACUGUCUCAACCAUAGGCCCGGUGAAAUUGCACUACGAGUAAAGAUGCUCGUUUCGCGCAGCAGGACGGAAAGACCCCGGGACCUUUACUACAGUUUGAUAUUGGUGUUCGGUUCGGCUUGUGUAGGAUAGCUGGGAGACUGUGAAGCUUGGACGCCAGUUCAGGUGGAGUCGUCGUUGAAAUACCAGUCUGGUCGUGCUGGAUGUCUAACCUGGGUCCGUGAUCCGGAUCAGGGACAGUGUCUGAUGGGUAGUUUAACUGGGGCGGUUGCCUCCUAAAGAGUAACGGAGGCGCCCAAAGGUUCCCUCAGCCUGGUUGGCAAUCAGGUGUUGAGUGUAAGUGCACAAGGGAGCUUGACUGUGAGACCGACGGGUCGAGCAGGGACGAAAGUCGGGACUAGUGAUCCGGCGGUGGCUUGUGGAAGCGCCGUCGCUCAACGGAUAAAAGGUACCCCGGGGAUAACAGGCUGAUCUUCCCCAAGAGUCCAUAUCGACGGGAUGGUUUGGCACCUCGAUGUCGGCUCGUCGCAUCCUGGGGCUGGAGUCGGUCCCAAGGGUUGGGCUGUUCGCCCAUUAAAGCGGUACGCGAGCUGGGUUUAGAACGUCGUGAGACAGUUCGGUCCCUAUCCGCUGCGCGCGCAGGAAUAUUGAGAAGGGCUGUCCCUAGUACGAGAGGACCGGGACGGACGAACCUCUGGUGUGCCAGUUGUUCUGCCAAGGGCAUGGCUGGUUGGCUACGUUCGGGAGGGAUAACCGCUGAAAGCAUCUAAGCGGGAAGCCUGCUUCGAGAUGAGUAUUCCCACCCACUUGAUGGGGUAAGGCUCCCAGUAGACGACUGGGUUGAUAGGCCGGAUAUGGAAGCACGGUAACGUGUGGAGUUGACCGGUACUAAUAGGCCGAGGGCUUGUCCUCAGUUG
This 1830-nucleotide ribosomal RNA is filed under the name Streptomyces resistomycificus. Its description in RNAcentral is "bacterial LSU rRNA". It matches the Rfam family "Bacterial large subunit ribosomal RNA", at positions 1223 to 2925 of the family's 2925-position model. The record is from RNAcentral. Lineage: Bacteria; Bacillati; Actinomycetota; Actinomycetes; Kitasatosporales; Streptomycetaceae.